AGUGAACGCUGGCGGUAGGCCUAACACAAGCAAGUCGAACGGCAGCACAGUAAGAGCUUGCUCUUACGGGUGGUGAGUGGCGGACGGGUGAGGAAUACAUCGGAAUCUACUUUUUCGUGGGGGAUAACGUAGGGAAACUUACGCUAAUACCGCAUACGACCUACGGGUGAAAGCAGGGGAUCUUCGGACCUUGCGCGAUUGAAUGAGCCGAUGUCGGAUUAGCUAGUUGGCGGGGUAAAGGCCCACCAAGGCGACGAUCCGUAGCUGGUCUGAGAGGAUGAUCAGCCACACUGGAACUGAGACACGGUCCAGACUCCUACGGGAGGCAGCAGUGGGGAAUAUUGGACAAUGGGCGCAAGCCUGAUCCAGCCAUACCGCGUGGGUGAAGAAGGCCUUCGGGUUGUAAAGCCCUUUUGUUGGGAAAGAAAAGCAGCAGGUUAAUACCCCGCUGUUCUGACGGUACCCAAAGAAUAAGCACCGGCUAACUUCGUG
This 492-nucleotide ribosomal RNA is filed under the name uncultured bacterium. RNAcentral's name for it is "partial 16S ribosomal RNA". It matches the Rfam family "Bacterial small subunit ribosomal RNA", at positions 29 to 507 of the family's 1533-position model. The record is from RNAcentral.